Molecule: ribosomal RNA, 648 nt
Filed under: Triticum aestivum (bread wheat)
Lineage: Eukaryota; Viridiplantae; Streptophyta; Magnoliopsida; Poales; Poaceae
Description: partial small subunit ribosomal RNA
Source: RNAcentral
AUGGAGAGAUCCCGCGGGCUGCUGCUGGUGGCGGGGCUGCUGGCGGCGCUGCUGCCGGCGGCGGCGGCGCAGCCGGGGGCGCCGUGCGAGCCCGCGCUGCUGGCGACGCAGGUGGCGCUCUUCUGCGCGCCCGACAUGCCGACGGCCCAGUGCUGCGAGCCCGUCGUCGCCGCCGUCGACCUCGGCGGCGGGGUGCCCUGCCUCUGCCGCGUCGCCGCCGAGCCGCAGCUCGUCAUGGCGGGCCUCAACGCCACCCACCUCCUCACGCUCUACAGCUCCUGCGGCGGCCUCCGCCCCGGCGGCGCCCACCUCGCCGCCGCCUGCGAAGGACCCGCUCCCCCGGCCGCCGUCGUCAGCAGCCCCCCGCCCCCGCCUCCACCGUCCGCCGCACCUCGCCACGACGCACCACCGCCGCCACCGCCGUCGAGCGAGAAGCCGUCGUCCCCGCCGCCGUCCCAGGACCACGACGGCGCCGCCCCCCGCGCCAAGGCCGCGCCCGCCCAGGCGGCCACCUCCACGCUCGCGCCCGCCGCCGCCGCCACCGCCCCGCCGCCCCAGGCGCCGCACUCCGCCGCGCCCACGGCGCCGUCCAAGGCGGCCUUCUUCUUCGUCGCCACGGCCAUGCUCGGCCUCUACAUCAUCCUCUGA